RNAcentral lists this ribosomal RNA (496 nucleotides) under uncultured bacterium. RNAcentral's name for it is "partial 16S ribosomal RNA". It matches the Rfam family "Bacterial small subunit ribosomal RNA", at positions 29 to 507 of the family's 1533-position model. The record is from RNAcentral.
AUGAACGCUGGCGGCGUGCCUAAUACAUGCAAGUCGAGCGAACGGACGAGAAGCUUGCUUUUCUGAUGUUAGCGGCGGACGGGUGAGUAACACGUGGAUAACCUACCUAUAAGACUGGGAUAACUUCGGGAAACCGGAGCUAAUACCGGAUAAUAUUUUGAACCGCAUGGUUCAAAAGUGAAAGACGGUCUUGCUGUCACUUAUAGAUGGAUCCGCGCUGCAUUAGCUAGUUGGUAAGGUAACGGCUUACCAAGGCAACGAUGCAUAGCCGACCUGAGAGGGUGAUCGGCCACACUGGAACUGAGACACGGUCCAGACUCCUACGGGAGGCAGCAGUAGGGAAUCUUCCGCAAAGGGCGAAAGCCUGACGGAGCAACGCCGCGCGAGUGAUGAAGGUCUUCGGAUCGUAAAACUCUGUUAUUAGGGAAGAACAUAUGUGUAAGUAACUGUGCACAUCUUGACGGUACCUAAUCAGAAAGCCACGGCUAACUACGUG